RNAcentral lists this ribosomal RNA (301 nucleotides) under uncultured bacterium. RNAcentral's name for it is "partial 16S ribosomal RNA". It matches the Rfam family "Bacterial small subunit ribosomal RNA", at positions 509 to 807 of the family's 1533-position model. The record is from RNAcentral.
CAGCCGCCGCGGGAAUACGAAGGGGGCUAGCGUUGCUCGGAAUGACUGGGCGUAAAGGGCGCGUAGGCGGUUUGUACAGUUGGGUGUGAAAUUCCUGGGCUUAACCUGGGGGCUGCAUUUGAGACGCGUAGUCUAGAGUGUGAAAGAGGGUCGUGGAAUUCCCAGUGUAGAGGUGAAAUUCGUAGAUAUUGGGAAGAACACCGGUGGCGAAGGCGGCGACCUGGUUCAUAACUGACGCUGAGGCGCGAAAGCGUGGGGAGCAAACAGGAUUAGAUACCCGCGUAGUCCCUGUCUCUUAUAC